GCAGGCGUGGCGGAAUUGGCAUACGCGUUGGUCUCAGAAGCCAAUGGUUUUACCUUGUGAGUUCAAAUCUCAUUGCCUGCACCA
This 84-nucleotide transfer RNA is filed under the name Clostridia bacterium. RNAcentral's name for it is "tRNA-Leu". It matches the Rfam family "tRNA". From Rfam's summary of the family: Transfer RNA (tRNA) molecules are approximately 80 nucleotides in length. The record is from RNAcentral. Lineage: Bacteria; Bacillati; Bacillota; Clostridia.